CUCUAGCUCCCAGCAGCUGCGGGCGUGGGGCAGCGCCGGGUGCACGCCUGGGAGCCGCUGGAUCCGGCUGCGCUCGCCUCCGCCGGCUUUCAGGCCAGCCCCGCAGACCCUGUUUGCUGCUGCUGUUUCCAUGGAACAUCACUCCUAGCAAUACUGCUUGCCUGAACACUGCUGUCAACACCCGGCAUCAUCAUCCCCUGCCAAGACCAGGAACAGCACUUAGGGUUAAGUUGCAAUUCAGUUACAAGCACCAAGUAGAAGACCACACAUAGUUGUGCUGCCCAAACACCAAUCCAGAAAACGGAAUGUGACUGCUUCAGGGGAGAUGUACUUCGCAACAGUGCUGUGCUGCAGCAUGUCCAUCAGCACAACUAUUAGGUCUCCGUGCCCCACUCCUUCACCUGCCUGGGAGAGAGUAGUAGCUUUACAAAGGUCGCUUCCCUCCCUCCUCCUCUUCUCUUUCCCUCCCUCCCCACACCGCCCUCGCCGCUUGUUGUUCAUAAACAGAGUAAGGAAGUAAGGGGAUGCAAAACUGGCAAACCAAAUGCCAGCUCUGGCCAAGG
This is a long non-coding RNA of Mauremys reevesii (Reeves's turtle), 563 nucleotides long. RefSeq lists it as uncharacterized. NCBI's taxonomy places the organism in Eukaryota, Metazoa, Chordata, Testudines, Geoemydidae. The transcript has 3 exons. The record is from RefSeq and is a predicted model, not a curated record.